GACGAACGCUGGCGGCGUGCCUAAUACAUGCAAGUAGAACGCUGAAGAGAGGAGCUUGCUCUUCUUGGAUGAGUUGCGAACGGGUGAGUAACGCGUAGGUAACCUGCCUUGUAGCGGGGGAUAACUAUUGGAAACGAUAGCUAAUACCGCAUAACAAUGGAUGACACAUGUCAUUUAUUUGAAAGGGGCAAUUGCUCCACUACAAGAUGGACCUGCGUUGUAUUAGCUAGUAGGUGAGGUAAUGGCUCACCUAGGCGACGAUACAUAGCCGACCUGAGAGGGUGAUCGGCCACACUGGGACUGAGACACGGCCCAGACUCCUACGGGAGGCAGCAGUAGGGAAUCUUCGGCAAUGGGGGCAACCCUGACCGAGCAACGCCGCGUGAGUGAAGAAGGUUUUCGGAUCGUAAAGCUCUGUUGUAAGUCAAGAACGGGUGUGAGAGUGGAAAGUUCACACUGUGACGGUAGCUUACCAGAAAGGGACGGCUAACUACGUGCCAGCAGCCGCGGUAAUACGUAGGUCCCGAGCGUUGUCCGGAUUUAUUGGGCGUAAAGCGAGCGCAGGCGGUUUGAUAAGUCUGAAGUUAAAGGCUGUGGCUCAACCAUAGUUCGCUUUGGAAACUGUCAAACUUGAGUGCAGAAGGGGAGAGUGGAAUUCCAUGUGUAGCGGUGAAAUGCGUAGAUAUAUGGAGGAACACCGGUGGCGAAAGCGGCUCUCUGGUCUGUAACUGACGCUGAGGCUCGAAAGCGUGGGGAGCGAACAGGAUUAGAUACCCUGGUAGUCCACGCCGUAAACGAUGAGUGCUAGGUGUUGGAUCCUUUCCGGGAUUCAGUGCCGCAGCUAACGCAUUAAGCACUCCGCCUGGGGAGUACGACCGCAAGGUUGAAACUCAAAGGAAUUGACGGGGGCCCGCACAAGCGGUGGAGCAUGUGGUUUAAUUCGAAGCAACGCGAAGAACCUUACCAGGUCUUGACAUCCCGAUGCUAUUUCUAGAGAUAGAAAGUUACUUCGGUACAUCGGUGACAGGUGGUGCAUGGUUGUCGUCAGCUCGUGUCGUGAGAUGUUGGGUUAAGUCCCGCAACGAGCGCAACCCCUAUUGUUAGUUGCCAUCAUUCAGUUGGGCACUCUAGCGAGACUGCCGGUAAUAAACCGGAGGAAGGUGGGGAUGACGUCAAAUCAUCAUGCCCCUUAUGACCUGGGCUACACACGUGCUACAAUGGUUGGUACAACGAGUUGCGAGUCGGUGACGGCGAGCUAAUCUCUUAAAGCCAAUCUCAGUUCGGAUUGUAGGCUGCAACUCGCCUACAUGAAGUCGGAAUCGCUAGUAAUCGCGGAUCAGCACGCCGCGGUGAAUACGUUCCCGGGCCUUGUACACACCGCCCGUCACACCACGAGAGUUUGUAACACCCGAAGUCGGUGAGGUAACCUUUUGGAGCCA
This 1439-nucleotide ribosomal RNA is filed under the name Streptococcus thermophilus. RNAcentral describes it as "bacterial SSU rRNA". It matches the Rfam family "Bacterial small subunit ribosomal RNA". The record is from RNAcentral. Lineage: Bacteria; Bacillati; Bacillota; Bacilli; Lactobacillales; Streptococcaceae.